CUGUUACCGUGGAAAGACCGCCGUCAUUUCACUUUCACUUCAGCUCCAACACGAUGCACAACAUCGGCGGAGGAAAGAUCUUUUUAAAUACUCUCUUCUUGGAUGUUAUUUUAUUUUUAUUUUUAAAAUUAUCACUACUAAGUUGAAGAUGUUGGCAUUUCGUUGUGUUGGAUUAUAAUUAGCUUGGAUCUACCGGGCUGAUCGACACGACGCAGCUGCUGGAAAUUUAAAGCAACUGCAGAGGAAAUUAGGGCCAAAGUAAAAGUGAAACCGACUGGAUUCUUCAACGGUCUGAAUCUUUGUUCGUUUCACCGAGGCUCUGUGGCUUCAAUGGAUUUUAAUUCACUAAAGCCGAAGAAUGAGAUGGAUUUAAGGGACAGCCGUCUGUAAAGCAUCAGAUCGCUGGGAGAAAAAAGGAAGAAGAGGAGACGGAGACGGAUUGUGGGCAUCUUGUAUCUCUGGCAUUAUGCACGAUCAGCAGAAAUAACAGACAUUUUGGACAUAUAGAAAG
Molecule: long non-coding RNA, 511 nt
Organism: Gambusia affinis (western mosquitofish)
Lineage: Eukaryota; Metazoa; Chordata; Actinopteri; Cyprinodontiformes; Poeciliidae
Exons: 2
Source: RefSeq, a predicted model, not a curated record